UCCAUUCUUCUCAAACCCUAAACAACAACAAUGCAUUCUCCCAACCUCCUCCUCCUCCUCCUCCUCCUCUUCUUCUUCACUGUUUCAUAUGCAGAACUUUGCCAUCCAAAUGACAAAAAGGUCCUCCUCAACAUCAAAAAAGCCUUCAACAAUCCCUACAUUCUUACCUCAUGGAAACCUGAAGAAGAUUGUUGCACUUGGUAUUGUGUUGAAUGUGAUCGGAAGUCCCAUCGGAUCAUUGCCCUCACCGUCUUUGCCGACGACAAACUCUCUGGCCCAAUCCCACCCUUUGUGGGUGACCUCCCGUUCCUCGAAAACCUCAUGUUCCACAAGCUCCCAAAUCUCAUUGGCCCCAUCCCACCUACCAUUGCAAAACUCAACAACCUCAAAUACCUUGACCUAAGCUGGAACGGUCUCUCUGGUCCUGUCCCCAGCUUCCUCGGCUCCCUUUCCAAUCUCGAUGUUCUCGACCUCUCCUUCAACCGUUUCACUGGCUCCAUCCCUAGCUCUCUUGCCAACCUCCGCCGCCUUGGAACUCUCCAUUUGGAUCGAAACAAAUUGACAGGACCCAUACCCGAAUCAUUUGGAAACUUCAAGGGAAAAGUCCCUUAUCUCUACCUAUCCCACAACCAACUGUCUGGAAAAAUUCCAAUUUCUAUGGGGAAAGUGGAUUUCAAUUACAUUGAUUUGUCGAGGAACAAGCUCGUGGGCGAUGGAUCGUUGAUAUUCGGUUCAAAGAAGACGACAGAAAUUGUGGACUUGUCAAGGAACUUGUUAGAGUUCAACAUGUCGAAGGUUGUGUUUCCUCGAACCUUGACUUAUUUGGAUCUUAACCAUAACAAGAUCUUUGGGGAAAUUCCAACCGAGGUUGUGAAGUUGGAGUUGCAGAUGUUUAAUGUGAGUUACAAUGCACUUUGUGGUCGGAUUCCGAUGGGAGGAAAGUUGCAAAGCUUUGACGUAUACUCCUAUUUUCAUAACAAGUGUUUGUGUGGUAAGCCACUUGGUAGCUGCAAAUGAUGAAAUGGUGAAAUCACUCCCCAACACAUUCUCCAUUAUUAUUAGUGAUUUUAUUUUGUUUUUGUUGCUUUUUAGUAUGUUAUGAGAGUUUGUUUAAGUUGGAAUUUGUACAAAUUUGGAGUCUAGGAACUUAAUUUUUAUGUGGUUUUACCACAUGAAGAAUUUAACUUCCAUCUACGUUAGCCUAGAUAUAUCCAAGUGUAAAUUUUCCAACUGUUAAAGCUAUGUCCGUUUUGUAGUUUGUUAUUAUCUUAUUGUAGCGGAAAAUAACGAGUU
This 1293-nucleotide long non-coding RNA is filed under the name Cucumis sativus (cucumber). RNAcentral's name for it is "long non-coding RNA (CSAT_LNC001468)". The record is from RNAcentral. Lineage: Eukaryota; Viridiplantae; Streptophyta; Magnoliopsida; Cucurbitales; Cucurbitaceae.